ACGCUGCUGCUUCUGUUCCGCCGGCCCGCGCCUCCUCCGUUCACGCCGCGACGCUACCGCUGUCCUGAUCUUCCCGCUCGCUGCACCAUCGCCGACCUGCAGCUUCUACCCGAGCCAAGUGAUCCACAGCCGUGCCUCCGUUUCCGUCGCCCUUGCCCCGUGAAGACGCUUCUGCCCCGUCUCGCCUGAAGCCAGCAACGCCGCGUGACCCAACGCUCCUGACCCGUUGCUGCCAGAGCUUCCCC
RNAcentral lists this long non-coding RNA (245 nucleotides) under Eucalyptus grandis. RNAcentral describes it as "long non-coding RNA (EGRA_LNC006369)". Lineage: Eukaryota; Viridiplantae; Streptophyta; Magnoliopsida; Myrtales; Myrtaceae. The record is from RNAcentral.